RNAcentral lists this ribosomal RNA (624 nucleotides) under Microbacterium paraoxydans. Its description in RNAcentral is "bacterial SSU rRNA". It matches the Rfam family "Bacterial small subunit ribosomal RNA", at positions 801 to 1425 of the family's 1533-position model. Lineage: Bacteria; Bacillati; Actinomycetota; Actinomycetes; Micrococcales; Microbacteriaceae. The record is from RNAcentral.
GCGUCGUUGGGACUAGUUGUGGGGUCCAUUCCACGGAUUCCGUGACGCAGCUAACGCAUUAAGUUCCCCGCCUGGGGAGUACGGCCGCAAGGCUAAAACUCAAAGGAAUUGACGGGGACCCGCACAAGCGGCGGAGCAUGCGGAUUAAUUCGAUGCAACGCGAAGAACCUUACCAAGGCUUGACAUAUACGAGAACGGGCCAGAAAUGGUCAACUCUUUGGACACUCGUAAACAGGUGGUGCAUGGUUGUCGUCAGCUCGUGUCGUGAGAUGUUGGGUUAAGUCCCGCAACGAGCGCAACCCUCGUUCUAUGUUGCCAGCACGUAAUGGUGGGAACUCAUGGGAUACUGCCGGGGUCAACUCGGAGGAAGGUGGGGAUGACGUCAAAUCAUCAUGCCCCUUAUGUCUUGGGCUUCACGCAUGCUACAAUGGCCGGUACAAAGGGCUGCAAUACCGUGAGGUGGAGCGAAUCCCAAAAAGCCGGUCCCAGUUCGGAUUGAGGUCUGCAACUCGACCUCAUGAAGUCGGAGUCGCUAGUAAUCGCAGAUCAGCAACGCUGCGGUGAAUACGUUCCCGGGUCUUGUACACACCGCCCGUCAAGUCAUGAAAGUCGGUAACACCUGAA